CUCUGAGGGCCUGGUGCUCCGGACACUGGCCAGAGGGAUGGCUUCUCCCUCUUCUGUCUGUCCUCCUGAUACUGCGCACUGGACGCCCAUCAGGGAUGUGAGAGGCAGCGAGGCAGACCUGUCCUGCGGGCUUCCGCAUGAUGACAGGGGCCCCAAGGACGACGAGGGCAGCGGGAUGGCAGGGGCCCCGCUCAGCGGUCGACGAGGGGCAGCGCCUUUCCAGAAGCGGCACCGGCCCGCUCGUCCCCAUGCGCUGCUCCGCGAGGCGACGACACCUCCGGGCGUGGGGCACACAUUCGGCCGUUACGUCUCCGUUGCCCUUUCUGUGCGCCGUGGGAAGCCCCCGCCUCCUGGGCCUCAUUUCCGAACAAAGAGGAGAAAGAAGGGCCGGCGCGCACAGCCGCCCCGCCGCGCCAGCCGCUCCGGAAAGAAACCCGCCUCCCGCGGGCGCCGGUGGAGACGCCGCGCCUCCGUGUCCAGCGAUCAUCGCUUUGGGGUCAGGGCCUUACAGGCAAGCAGCGUGCACCCCCUUAGCCUCAGGUUCCCCAAAUGCGUUUGAGCAGGGACACGCCUUCACCUCCGGGUGCCCGUGGGGACCCGUUUUCCAGGCGACACCUGGUGGCAAAGACUGGGUCGCGCACGGUCUGCAGGAGGCGGCGGGACGGGAGCCUGGUUCACAGAAUUUUGUGCAGAUCCGCGGAACUGAAGUGGCGAUCAGCGCGCGGCGGAGCGCAUCAGGCCUUGGGCGCUCGCUGCUGAGCCUGACGACCCCAUGCACACGCGCACCACCGUCCAAUUCCAGGAACAGACUUCCAGCCAACCCCGCCCCAGCGACGAGCAUCCUCGUUUCCUCCCCUGGGUGGGCUUUCCAGGUUCCCGCCGUGGGAGACGCGCGCUGCAUUCCAGCGCUCCGCGCCGCGCUGGUCCGUCGGCCCCGGCCAUCUCCGAGAGGCUGCGUGGACCGUCUUCAUCGCGGCCGACGGAAAUACAGCUGCCGUCUGCGAUCUCGGCGAGCGGGGCUCCGCACUGCGCAUGCUUCUUCUUCUUCAUCCGGCGCAGGGCGGGGGGCUCGCCUACUCCUGAGUCCCAGAGGACCUGUCCCCUAAAAGCCCUGAGCCGCGGGCGGGGGGGCAGGCACCCCCGCCGUUCUGCCUCGUCCUCCGCAAAGCUGGUGUGCCAGAGCCCCCCGGGGGACCCCGCGGGGAAGGCUUGUUGACAGUGCGGCUCCGGGCCUGGGAACCUGCAUUUCAGGCCUCCCACCCCUCCUUGCCCCAGACGCACCCUGUGUGACCCGCUUCUGGCUCCUGUGACUGCGAGCGUGUGGGCAGCAGAGAUCUGAACUGCCCCACCCCCGUGUGGGAGGGGCGGCGUCGCUCAGACACACUGCGGGGAGCCAGACCUCGUUCUCUGAGCCCGGGGCCUGACCUCAGUGCCCUCGCCGUGACAGGCAGACGCCCAACGUCUCUCCAUGGAGACGGACCCCUUGGUGUCCCCCUGAGACAGGCAGACACCCCAACAUCUCUCCAUGCAGAUCGACCCCUCGAUGUCCCCCUGAGACAGGCAGACACCCCAACGUCUCUCCAUGGCAGACGGACCCCUUGGUGUCCCCCUGAGACAGGAAGACACCCCAACUUCUCUCCAUGCAGACAGACCCUUUGGUGUCCCCCUGAGACAGGCAGGCACCCAACAUCUCUCAAAGACAGACAGACCCCUCAGUGUCCCCCUGAGACAGGCAGGCACCCCGGUGAACCCCUGCACAUAGAGUCCCGACACCCACUGCCACAGAUCGGCCCCCAUGGAGUCCUCUUUCAGGCACAAACGGAAGCUGGCUCCUGGCAAGAGGGACCCUCCCACAGGGGACGGGGUGGCGGCUCUGUGGGUCGUCGUGGUGAGAUGUGAGUGAGACAGGGCCUUGAAGUUUGGGGUGAGUGUGAAUCCUCGUACCCCCCACCCCACCAAGUGCCCUGCCAAGCCUGGGCCACUGGGUUUGCAGAAAUGUACGAGGCCCUUGGUUUUCUGCUUGUCCCUGGCCCUCAGCUCUGGGGAAUGCACAGCGGGGGGCUGGGCGAGGAUGGGUGGUCUCAGGAUGGGGGCCCCUAGGGGAGGGAGGGAACAGGGUUUCUUCCCUGUGAAUUCCAGGCUGGGAGCAGGCAGCACAUAACCAGCCACUUCCUGUGCCCCCCUUGGUGCAUCCCGACUGAGCCCAGCUUGUCCGUCCGUCUGUCCAGGCCAGCCCUGUGGCUGGGCACUGUGAACGGGGCUUUGGGGUCAUUGCUGGGCUUCUCUGCAAUCGAUGGGGAGUCUUUCGUGCUGAUUUACAUUUCAGACACAGCGCUUCCAUUGAUCCCCGGCCCCUCACGCAGCGCCCGAGUCGCGCCUGUCCCGUAUCCCAUUAGCUAAUUGUGUCUUGCGCCAUCCUCCAUCUGCUGGAAAUGUAAGCUGGCUGGGUUCUCCACCUUCCACAAGUGGCAGUGUCUUUUUGUCCCUUGUUCCUGUCCUCCUCUCUUCGACGACAAGAAAGCUCCCUCCCCAUUCCUGGAGACCCCCGCUCACUUUUUGCCCCCCUGCCCCUUCCAGGAAAGCAGGUCCCACUCCUUGCGCUGACUGUGAUAGAGCUCAGCUCUAACCCCCAAGACAAAGGACCGGAAUCCACCCGUGCCUGGGGAGUCCUGUGGGGGCCUGUGGGGUCUUUGGGCUUGUUAGGUGGUGGAGCAGCUUGGCUGGGAUCUCUGGGACAAGGAGGAAGCUUCCUGGUUUCAUGGGUCCUGGGCUGCAGAUUUGUCUUGUUGGCAUCAGGGCAGGAGGGCUGGUGGGGCCCCUGGAGCCCCGCUGGGCCCUCUGCUCAGGCUGGUCAGCCUUUCCGGUGGGGUGGGAUGCCCCUUGCAUCCCCCAGGGGCUGGUCCAGAGCCUGGAACGAGAGAUGAUGUCCUGGGACUCCACCCCGCAAAGGGGCCUGAUGUGAAAUGACCAAAAGUAAACACAUUGUCUCUGCCCCCGGUUCCUGCCUCAGAGCUCCUGAAAUCCCUGUGCUUUCCUGGGUGAUGGGAGUGUCUUUUGUCCUAGUGAGGUGAUCCUGGGUGGGCUCCUCGGUGGAGCCAUGAUCCAGAGAGGGGAGAGGGGCUGGAAAUGGAGGUAAGGGUUGAUCAUGUCGACGUGAGGAAGCGUCCAUAAAACCCCAAUAGCACGGGGUUCAGGGAGCUUCCAGGCUGGUGAGCACAUCCAAAUACCUGCAGGGUGACACCCCAUCUCCAAGGGGACAGAAGCUCCUAGCUCAAGACCCUCUUGGAUCUCACCCUGUGUGUCUCUGCAUCUGGCUGUUCUUCUGUAUCCUUUAUUCUAUAGUAAACCAGUAAACACAGAUGUUUCUCUGAGUUCUGGGAGCUGCUCUAGCAAAUUAAUUGAACCGAGGAAGGGGUCGUGGGAACCUCCGAUUUGUAGAGGGUCCUUCAGAAGCACAGGCGACAACCUAGGCUUGCAAUUGGCGUCUCAAGUGGGGAGCAGUUUUGUGGGGCUGAGCCCUUAACCUGCGGGAUCCGCUGCUAUCUACUCCACAGGCAGAUGGUGUCAGAACCGAAUUGAAUUGUAGGGCACCCGGUGGUGUCGGAGAAUUGCUUAGUGUGGGCGAAACCCCGACCUUUGGGGUGGGAAAUGUCACAGGCGCAGUGUUCUGUGCGCGGGUGAAGGAGGAGCACAGAGUGUCCCAGCCUGGGCUCCCUGAGGAUGCGAGACCGAGGGUCAGUUCCAGCCUCUCAGACUGGAUCAGAUUGGGCCGGACGCAGGGCCACACAUUAAGGCUUUUUGCACGACUCCAAAUGUCCCCUGGUGAGUCAGCACCUCGUGUGCUGGGAGCUCUGCCGUCGUCCUUGCUUCUUCCGGUAAAGUGGAUCUGUGAGCUGGAUCAGCAUCUCUGACGGCCUUUGUGGGCCAGGAGAACUGCAGCGUGACCCCACCGCUGCGUAGUAGGGGGCGGACUGCCUUCCUGCCAGAGCCUGGCUGGCUGUGUUUCCCUCUUAGAUGCAGAAAUGCGCGCACAGUCUGCUGCCCUCAUGUCUCUGCCAAGGCGACUUUCUCCCCGAGUGGAGCUCUGCCCAAAGGGACAGCACAGGGGGACAGGCACCGUCCUCCUGCUCGGCAGCCCCAGUGGGCGGGGGAAGCGGCUUUCCAGAAUCGGAGGCUUCAGGGGCAGGCUGGGUGCCCGAAAGCACAGGCCUGUUCAGAGGACACCCCACUGGCCCCUCCCGGGAGACCACAUGCCCGCCCGCCUGCCCUGCCUUCCUCCUGGGCUGUGGUCCUAAAUCUCCCCAGACAGGGUGGAGCUGCCCCGGGAGGGCUCCUUGGAGGGUCUCCUUGCAGACGCCCCUGCUCAUUAGCUGCCCCCAGACCUCCCCCAGCACCCCUUCCUCCCCUAAGGCUGGGGGAGCCCGGGCCCCCCACCCACUGGCUCUGCUCAGAGUCCCCAGCUCUGGGCCCGCCAGCUGUGCCCACCUCUCCCCUGGGACCAGCAAGUGAUUUGCACCUUUUUCAGGUGAGAAGGGGCAGCUGUGGCCUGUUCCCAGGGGAAUUUCUCAGAAUCAGAAGCCUUUCCCAAACUCAGUUCAAUAGGAAUUGAAGAAACUCAAUUCGACACGUGGCUUUGGGCUCCUGCCUAGUGUGGGAACCUGGGAGCUAGGGGUGAGGGUCCUGCCAGCAGACACCCUGGGACCCCCGGGGCCCAGGCUGCCAGGACACACGAGGGGCUGAUGGGGUGUGGGGCCCCCUGACCCCCAAGGGCCCUCCUACCUUCCUGGGCGCCCUCCGUAAAAACUGGGAAAUAUUCUUUGUAACAACCGUGCUGACGUGAAGACCAACGUAUUAAUACUAUAAAUGAAAAUAUUACUUCAAUCUCAAAGUUCUUUGUUUCUCUUACGAUUUUAAAAGUCAUUCAGACACUGAUGUGAGCCCGGGCUGGAUGCAGGAGCUCAGAGGGGACACAGGGCGUGUGAAGGGCAGGGGCGCCCGUGUGGAGGGGACGCAGCCGUGUGGUGGGGAGGGGCGGUGGGCCCAGGCGGUGGGAGUGGCACACGUGGGCUGGACCUUUGAAGUCCUGGGACCCGGGCACAGUCCCCACCCCCACCCAGACCGUGAAGAUGUGACCUGGGACUGUCUGGUCCACAGCAGAGGUGUCUGCACGGGGCUCUGGGCUCCUGCCCUUGUUCCUGGCCUCCUGGCUGCGGUGCUGGGAGGAACCUUGGGCGCGGCUGGUUGAGCUGCUGGGAAAUUUCUAGCACCCUCCUGCGAGCCUGCUAUGGCCCUGGGAGCUGGUGAUCUACACUCCAGAAACUUCCAGACAUGCCCACGGCCUCUCCGCCCACCCGUGGGGGAGUGAGGCCAGCAGGGCAGUGGGCUGGAGUUGGAGAGGCGGCCCCUGACCCCGUCCUCAGCCUCAGGAAAUGGGGUUUGGGGUUGUUAUGGGCUGAAAUGUGCCCCCAAAUUCACAUUCCUAACUCUCAGGACCCCAGAAUGUGUCUAUGUUUGGAGGUGAUUCAGGUAAACUGAGGUCACCAGGGUGGCCUAAUCCCGUUCACUGGGGUCCCUAUGAGAAGAGGGGAUGGGGACGCAGACACACGCACAGGUUCGACCAUGCGAGGACACAGGGAGAAGACGGUGUCUACACACCGAGGAGCGAGCCCUCAGAGGAACCAGCCCUGAGACAGCCGGAUCUCGGAUGUCCAGCCCCCAGACUGUGAGAGAACGAACGUCUGUUGUUCAAGCCGUCAGCCUGUGGCCGUUUGUUACUGCUGCCCGAGCCAAACGGGACAGGCGCCUCCUCUCAGAGAGGCUGGGGGCUCUCUGUGUGGGUGGCACCCGGGCAGGGCGAGCUCGUCCUCCUGCCCCGCUGGGCUCUCCUUCCUCGAAGCCGCUGCUCUGCCCCGUCGUGAAUUCAGCGUGGAGCUCUCCCAGCAUCUGUGAGGACAAAACUGCACGCGAGUCAUAUCCUGAUGGGGGGGUGAGGGACAAGGGACGAGGGCGCCGGGGCAGCAGUCCCUGCAAACGAGUGAGUGGGGUUCCGUCUGGCUGUGCCCUCGAGGCCCCAGUGACGGGUGGGGGCUCCGAAUCUGACCCUGGCCACCUUGUGAGUGUUUGUGGGGUCCAUGUCUGCAUUGUGUUAGCACCAGGGCUUGUCAUGACCGGAGGGGGCCCUGGUUCUGUAAUGAGUCUGUGGCUGGGGUGGACUCUCCCCCUCGCUCUGGCUCACAUUACUGGCCGGAAGGCCUGCUCCCGCCCCCUGCAUCUCAGCCUUGAGCUCUGAGCCCAAAGGUCCCAUCCUCAGGGUGUGUCCUCUUGAUUCCUGCUCUAAUCAGCGCCCCCCGGGGUGUGUGUGCAUGGCCCGGGUCCCUUCCCUCUGUUACACACAUCGCCACUGUCUUUUACUCAAUUCAGACAUUGUUACCUCCACCCCGGGCUGCAGCUCGUGGAGACCAGGGCUCGUGGGCAGGGGAGACCACUCCUCUGUGGGAGCCCCAGGAUGGGACUUGUGUCCUCGUGCCUCUGGCCUUCCUCCCCAGCUGGGCCACUUCGGACCCCGCGUCCCGGCUACCUGUGCAAACUCUCUGGGCCUCGGCGGCUUCAUCUUCAACAGGUGGCAAGCAAGCUGCUUCUGAGGCGGUUGGGAGCCGAGUCCCCGAGUGAGUGAGAAGCCCCCACACUGUCAGCUUCUGCGCCAGGAAGGGAGCGUUACGUGGAAAGAGGAGAGGAAAAGCACGAUGGGCGUGACGGCGCGUGGAGCCAGCAGUCCUGUUCUGGACCUUCGUGCCGACCCCUGGGAAGGGUCAGCGCGUCCACACGCUUCUUCUACUUCCUUCUCUGUCAGCUGAGAGGGUCCAGCCCCGUGCACGGGCGUCUCUCCUGCCCGCUUCGUGUGGGAGAACCAGGCUCUGGGCCACACGAGCUCAAGGCCAGGCAGUGGGGAUGUGGGCCCCAGCUAGUGGUCAUGUCCCCGCCAGGCGUGUCCAAGGCGCUCUUGCAGACACUCUGGUGUGACAGUGAGAAGAAAAAGGGCAAAUGCUGCCUCCGUGGAGCUCUGGUCUCCAGGGGGAGAUGAACCACAGACAAUACGCAGUGGGUCUGGGAGUGACAAGGACACUGAGGGAAGAGGUCCAGGGUGAUAGGACAGGCUCGGGGGACGGUGGGGGGGUGUUUGAGCAGAGCCCCCAGGCGGGAUGACCAUCACCAUCUGUCAGGAGACUUGCCCACACCCCACCCCAUUAAACGCAGGCCCAGAGUUCGAGCCCAGGUUUAUAUUUUCCUGGUGACCAUAGGGUGGUGUGGCCCUGGGGAAGGAGCUGAGACCCUACGAGAGGGCACCUAGCAGUGAGGACAGGUGCCUCCUUUCCCAAACCCGAGGCAGCGCCCGUCUCCCUCCCACAGCGAGCGCGCGGCUCUGACUCACCGUGAGAGCGGGAGUGACGCGGGCCGUCCACUUUACGACAAUUGGAUCUAAGAAUAUCCUGUCGCCCCCGCCACUGAGCCUGGGAAGAUGAAGAGACAAGGCUGUGAGAAUUCUCAGAGAUAAAAAGGCUUCUAAAAGGAAGUAGCAGGGAGUUCACACAAGCUUCUCCCCUGCAAGUGAUUAAUCCUGUCGCCGAUUUGACUUGACACAGUAAUUGGGAAACCAACUGGAUACCUUUGCAAGGAGAGUUAAGUAACCAGAUUUUUAAACUGAUUUUUCUUUUUUCCUUUUCUUCUUUUUUUAAAUUGGUAUAAAACUAAUAUGUGUGCAUGAUAAAAUUAAACACAAUAAAGGGAAUAAAAUUAGAGAUACAAGGUUCUCUCCAUCCCACCCCCACCAACCCCAGCUCUGUUCUCACUAUUGUAACCGUGUGUAAUCUUUCAGAAAUGUGCAUGCAAAGGGUGUGGGGGUGUGUGCUCACGUAUAAAUUUAAACAUCAAUGAGAUCACGCUGUAAUCGGCUCCAAAUCUUGACAUAUUGGAUAAACAACAUAUUGAAGAGAUCUUUCCAAAUAGAACCAGCUCAUUCCUUUAUAUCCUUCUAAUUUUUGGCUACUAUGGUUGUCUUGUUUUUGAAAAACAUGCAUAAAACUCCUACUGCGACUGUGGACUUGUGAUUCCACCAUUGCUUGCACACAAUCCACACCCACACAUGAACGCUCCUGCAUGCACACAUCACGCAAGCACACACGUGUGCAUCCCACAUGCACAUAUCACACACGUGUGCACACACAUUUGCACCCAGACAGACACGCUUCCCACCUGCAUCUCCACACACACCGACCCCUAAACACACACUGACACCUGUGCACACACCAUCCCACGCACACCCACACCCACGUACCCCAGACACAUUCACGCACGCUGACACUCCCUCGCACCAUCCCCCGCCCCCACACGCUGACAUACACACGCUGUAUUCCGCCGUAACAAAUGAUCACAAGCUUCGUGGCUCAAAACAGCAGAAAUUGAUUCUCUCGCAGUCUGGAGGCCAGACGCCCCAAAUCCAGGUGUGGGCAGGGCUGCGUUCCCUCUGAAGGCUCUAGAGGACCCUUCCUGCCUCUUCCAGCUCCUGGUGGCUGCCAGGAACCCUUUUUUGGUUGCCUCACUCCAGCCUCUGCCUCCCUGUGUGUCUGUGUCUCUGUGUCCAAAUUUCCCUCUUCUUCUUAUUUUUGGUGAGGAAGAUUGGCCCUGAGCUGACAUCUGUGCCCAUCUUCCUCUGUUCCAUAUGUGGG
Molecule: long non-coding RNA, 8723 nt
Filed under: Equus caballus (horse)
Lineage: Eukaryota; Metazoa; Chordata; Mammalia; Perissodactyla; Equidae
Description: lncRNA (ENSECAG00000044614.1)
Source: RNAcentral